Long non-coding RNA from Amphiprion ocellaris (clown anemonefish), 1889 nucleotides. The record is from Ensembl. NCBI's taxonomy places the organism in Eukaryota, Metazoa, Chordata, Actinopteri, Pomacentridae.
GGAAAACAGUCCAAAGAAUUAGUCUGAUCCUGAUAAUAUGAGGUAGAGGGAGACAUUCAAUCAAGGCUGACAAUGGGAUGGAAAUAUGAAAAAUAGAAGAGAGGACAUAGCUUUGCUCUACCCAUUCUUUUGGAAACCUGUUUGAUAAUUCCACUAUUUGCUUCUUCUUCUACCAGUUAAAAAGGUUAUGCUAGCAUAUUGUGGGACACACGUUCCAUGCAUAAUAAUUAUUUAAAAUAUUAUGCUGUUUACAAAAAUGUUCCCACAAUUACAAGAGACAUCAAUGAAAAAAUAAUACCAAAAAAAGGAGAUUUAAAUUUCUUUUCAACUGUUUUAUUUGAGAUUCAGUUUGGUCAUCAGGGGGGUGGGACAAGAGAAAAAUAGCAUUUUAGGGAGAACUUCAGACUAAUUUGGUAUUUUAAAAAUAUUUUCAAACAUUCUUUUGUCCUUUUUUUAAAGACUUGGUCUCAGGACAAGAAUAUUUACACAACAACUGCAUGUUUUAGCAUUUUGUACAUGGAUUAUUUGAAAUUUGAUGGGUGGGACGUAAAAUGUCCUCCAGUUCUAGAAUGACCCAAAUAAAAACAAAAAUGUGAUAAAAUAGUUUACUAAAUAAAGCUACACACUGAAUUGGACUAAACUUAAAUCCAGAAACGAACCAAAAUAGGACUCAGAUGCAAAAACAAGAGUUCAGGAGAGGACAUAAACUACUGCUGCUGCUGCUCAGGUUUCAAUAGAAGAAAUGCUUUUCUUGCAGCCCUGCGAUCGGUCUUGGCCUCCGCUUCAGUUUUUCUUGCCUUGGCAGCAGGUCGACUGUAUGAUGGAUGCUGACGGGCAGCAGACAGACGUCCAUCUGGGAGGCAACAUCGCUGCUGCCUCCACCGCCCACUUCCAGAUCAAUCAAUACCGAGCUAUAGUUAGCAUCAGCAGAAGAAGCCCCGAGGCCUCAGAGGCACGUUGUAGUGGUUCAAACUGUACUUUUCCUGCUUGUAUGGGCCUUUUUUAAACACAUACAUCCUAAAAAUAUCUGCAUGUACAUGGACUUUAAAUCCAGUUCAUCGGAAACGCAAGAUAUCAGACACAUUAUUAGUGUUUUUAACCCUUUGAUGUGUAGACCACAUGAGGAGAUACCCAUUUUCCACUGGAUUUGGGUCACUUUUGACCCAGGUUACGCAUCAAAGGGUUAAAUGAAAAUGCACCUUUUAUGUUGACAGAUAAAUGACUAUCAUCAGCAAGUAGCACAGAGAGCUGGAGGCCUCUUGUGAACAGAUGGCGGCCAUAUUUCCCUCUAAGUGCACUUGGCAGCGUUUGGACACAAUAAUCCAUCUCGGCGAGCGGAGGGACGCCUCGCUGCAGCCCAGAAACAUCCACGGGAGCAGCUCGAUGCUCGCAUUAGCAAAUAAGAUGUAGAAGUCUGUGCCGCUGCUGAAUAUCUGCUGAGAAUUUCUCCCUCCGUCUCCUCCACCCACACAGCUUAUGUCACCUUGAGGCACCUGUUCGCGCCUGCAGUGAAAGAAAGAAGCAGAUCUCACCUCCAUCUGGACUCACGUCAGCGUCGAUCUGUCCUCCAAUAACUCACUAUGGAGCUUCGAAGUCAAACCAAAAAUCCAUGAGUCCUGCAGGAUCCGUGCACAAACGCUGCGAGAAAUACGGAGGAAAUCGGAGCAAAAACACUGAAAGAGCAUUAAGUAGAGCUGGACUGUUUUCUGUUCGGUAGAGAAGAAUCUCUGCAGUUAUUUGUAAAGUUAGAUCGCUCUUUACAUACAGAACUGGAGGACAUUUAGGCUUCAAAAUGUUUGAAAAAUAAACCUUCUCUUUUACAGUUUUCUGCUCCAUAUUCAUCAAUAAUAGGUAAUAAAUUAUCAAAGGCUUGAUUGUCUGAACUUACA